CUUACUUUUGUUAAUAUAUGCUUUGAAAUGAGCAGCAGUAAAUACUAAAAUAAUUGAAACAGCUAUAUUAGCUGAGCAGAUCAUUAAAAUUUUACUUAGUGUGUUAAAUACACCACAUCAAACUUCCACCUAACAUUACUGUUUUAAGGUUAACAGACUAAUAAUUGUUGAAUGGGUUGAAACAUACCUUUAGAUUUGAUGCCAAAUCACUGAACAUGUGAG
Carassius carassius (crucian carp) is the source of this 222-nucleotide long non-coding RNA. RefSeq lists it as uncharacterized. The record is from RefSeq and is a predicted model, not a curated record. The transcript has 2 exons. NCBI's taxonomy places the organism in Eukaryota, Metazoa, Chordata, Actinopteri, Cypriniformes, Cyprinidae.